Molecule: small RNA, 123 nt
Filed under: Rhizobium sp. CECT 9324
Lineage: Bacteria; Pseudomonadati; Pseudomonadota; Alphaproteobacteria; Hyphomicrobiales; Rhizobiaceae
Description: ar35
Rfam family: Alphaproteobacterial sRNA ar35
Source: RNAcentral
GAGUCAGCAGAGCGUUGACAGACACCGGCGAUCGCAUGGCACGUUUCCGUUUUUGACCACGGAUGUACUGGCAGGGAUGUAGAAACGUAAAGGAAAGGCCGGUUUUCACCGGCCUUUUUGCUU